This 70-nucleotide ribosomal RNA is filed under the name Lactobacillus gasseri. The record is from RNAcentral. Lineage: Bacteria; Bacillati; Bacillota; Bacilli; Lactobacillales; Lactobacillaceae.
UACGGUGGCGAUGGCAAGAAGGAUACACCUGUUCCCAUGCCGAACACAGAAGUUAAGCUUCUUAACGCCG